AUUGGUGCUUGCAUCAUGAUUUACAUUUGAGUGAGUGGCGAACUGGUGAGUAACACGUGGGAAACCUGCCCAGAAGCGGGGGAUAACACCUGGAAACAGAUGCUAAUACCGCAUAACAACUUGGACCGCAUGGUCCGAGUUUGAAAGAUGGCUUCGGCUAUCACUUUUGGAUGGUCCCGCGGCGUAUUAGCUAGAUGGUGGGGUAACGGCUCACCAUGGCAAUGAUACGUAGCCGACCUGAGAGGGUAAUCGGCCACAUUGGGACUGAGACACGGCCCAAACUCCUACGGGAGGCAGCAGUAGGGAAUCUUCCACAAUGGACGAAAGUCUGAUGGAGCAACGCCGCGUGAGUGAAGAAGGGUUUCGGCUCGUAAAACUCUGUUGUUAAAGAAGAACAUAUCUGAGAGUAACUGUUCAGGUAUUGACGGUAUUUAACCAGAAAGCCACGGCUAACUACGUGCCAGCAGCCGCGGUAAUACGUAGGUGGCAAGCGUUGUCCGGAUUUAUUGGGCGUAAAGCGAGCGCAGGCGGUUUUUUAAGUCUGAUGUGAAAGCCUUCGGCUCAACCGAAGAAGUGCAUCGGAAACUGGGAAACUUGAGUGCAGAAGAGGACAGUGGAACUCCAUGUGUAGCGGUGAAAUGCGUAGAUAUAUGGAAGAACACCAGUGGCGAAGGCGGCUGUCUGGUCUGUAACUGACGCUGAGGCUCGAAAGUAUGGGUAGCAAACAGGAUUAGAUACCCUGGUAGUCCAUACCGUAAAACGAUGAAUGCUAAGUGUUGGAGGG
Molecule: ribosomal RNA, 784 nt
Filed under: Lactiplantibacillus plantarum
Lineage: Bacteria; Bacillati; Bacillota; Bacilli; Lactobacillales; Lactobacillaceae
Description: bacterial SSU rRNA
Rfam family: Bacterial small subunit ribosomal RNA
Source: RNAcentral